GCCGAGAUAGCUCAGUGGUAGAGCAGCUGUUUUGUAAACAGCAGGUCCAGGGUUCGAAUCCCUGUCUCGGCUCAA
RNAcentral lists this transfer RNA (75 nucleotides) under Candidatus Levybacteria bacterium RIFCSPHIGHO2_01_FULL_37_33. Its description in RNAcentral is "tRNA-Thr". It matches the Rfam family "tRNA". From Rfam's summary of the family: Transfer RNA (tRNA) molecules are approximately 80 nucleotides in length. Their secondary structure includes four short double-helical elements and three loops (D, anti-codon, and T loops). Further hydrogen bonds mediate the characteristic L-shaped molecular structure. tRNAs have two regions of fundamental functional importance: the anti-codon, which is responsible for specific mRNA codon recognition, and the 3' end, to which the tRNAs corresponding amino acid is attached (by aminoacyl-tRNA synthetases). tRNAs cope with the degeneracy of the genetic code in two manners: having more than one tRNA (with a specific anti-codon) for a particular amino acid; and 'wobble' base-pairing, i.e. permitting non-standard base-pairing at the 3rd anti-codon position. RNAcentral also lists the same sequence under 4 other names. Lineage: Bacteria; Candidatus Levyibacteriota. The record is from RNAcentral.